UCCCUGGUGGCUCAGUUGGUAAAGAAUCUGCUUGCAAUGCAGGAGACCUAGGUUCAAUCCCUGGGUUGGGAA
Molecule: transfer RNA, 72 nt
Filed under: Capra hircus (goat)
Lineage: Eukaryota; Metazoa; Chordata; Mammalia; Artiodactyla; Bovidae
Also listed under: 1 other name
Rfam family: tRNA
About the family: Transfer RNA (tRNA) molecules are approximately 80 nucleotides in length. Their secondary structure includes four short double-helical elements and three loops (D, anti-codon, and T loops).
Source: Rfam by way of RNAcentral